This 2040-nucleotide ribosomal RNA is filed under the name human gut metagenome. RNAcentral describes it as "bacterial LSU rRNA". It matches the Rfam family "Bacterial large subunit ribosomal RNA", at positions 508 to 2569 of the family's 2925-position model. The record is from RNAcentral.
GGAAAGGUGAAAAGAACCCCGAACAGGGGAGUGAAAUAGAACCUGAAACCAUACGCUUACAACCGGUCGGAGCAGCUUCGUGCUGUGACGGCGUGCCUAUUGAAUAAUGAGCCUACGAGUUACUAAUCACUAGCGAGGUUAAGUGCAAGGAUGCACGGAGCCGAAGCGAAAGCGAGUCUGAACAGGGCGUUUAGUUAGUGGUUGUAGACGCGAAACCUUGCGAUCUACCCUUGAGCAGGUUGAAGGUUGGGUAAAACCAACUGGAGGACCGAACGAAUAAGCGUUGAAAAGCUUCUCGAUGACUUGAGGGUAGGGGUGAAAGGCUAAUCAAGCUGGGAAAUAGCUCGUACUCCCCGAAAUGCCUUUUGGGGCAGCGUUGUAAUAAAGAGUCUACUGGAGGUAGAGCUACUGAUUGGAUGCGGGGGCUUCACCGCCUACCAAAUCCUGACAAACUCCGAAUGCCAGUAGUAUGAUUUACAGCAGUGAGUGACUGGGUGCUAAUGUCCAGUCGCAAAAGAGGAACAACUCAGACCAGCAACUAAGGUCCCGAAGAAUAUGCUAAGUUGAUCUAACGAUGUUUUGUUGCAGAGACAGCUAGGAUGUUAGCUUGGAAGCAGCUAUUCAUUCAAAGAGUGCGUAACAGCUCACUAGUCGAGCGACAGAGCGUGGAUAAUAAACGGGCAUCAAGCAUAUCACCGAAGUUCUGGGCGCGAGAGCGCGGUAGGGGAGCAUUCCAUUCAGCGUCGAAGCAGUUUCGUGAGGAAUUGUGGAGCGUAUGGAAAAGCAAAUGUAGGCAUGAGUAACGAUAAUGCGGGAGAGUAACCCGCACACCGCAAGACCAAGGUUUCCUGAUCAACGCUAAUCGGAUCAGGGUUAGUCGGGUCCUAAGGGUAAGCCGAACGGCGAUCUCGAUGGAUAAUCGGUUAAUAUUCCGAUACUAACAUAUACCUCGAUGGAGAGACGAAGGAACGUAAGUGCCGCCACCUGACGGAAUAGGUGGUUAAAGGGCGUAGGUAUAGGGGCAGAUUAAGAGUUAGUCCUUGCUGAAACCUGACAGUACAGAGAGCCUACGGGCAAUUUGAUAGAGCACCCAAGUCGACUUCCGAGAAAAUCUUCUAAGUUAUAGUAUAUGUUACCCGUACCGUAAACCGACACAGGUGGUCGAGGAGAGUAUCCUAAGGUGCUCGAGUGAAUCACGGUUAAGGAACUAGGCAAAUUAACCCCGUAACUUCGGGAAAAGGGGUCCCUAUGAAAGUAGGGCGCAGCGAAGAGGUCCAGGCGACUGUUUAUCAAAAACACAGGGCUCUGCAAAUUCGAAAGAAGACGUAUAGGGCCUGACACCUGCCCGGUGCUGGAAGGUUAAGAGGGGAUGUCAUCGCAAGAGAAGCAUUGAAUCGAAGCCCCAGUAAACGGCGGCCGUAACUAUAACGGUCCUAAGGUAGCGAAAUUCCUUGUCGGGUAAGUUCCGACCUGCACGAAUGGUGUAACGAUCUGGACACUGUCUCAACCGUGAGCUCGGUGAAAUUGUAGUCCCGGUGAUGAUGCCGGGUACCCGCAACGGGACGAAAAGACCCCGUGAACCUUUACUAUAGCUUAACGCUGAAUUUGGGUACACAAUGUGUAGGAUAGGCCGGAGGCUUUGAAGCGGGCACGCCAGUGUUCGUGGAGCCGACGUUGAAAUACGGCCCUUUGUGUAUUUGAGUUCUAACCCUGCGAAGGGGACACCGUUUGGUGGGUAGUUUGACUGGGGUGGUCGCCUCCAAAAGCGUAACGGAGGCUUCCCAAGGUACCCUCAGCACGAAUGGUAACCGUGCGCGGAGUGCAAUAGCAUAAGGGUGCUUGACUGUGAGACAUACAAGUCGACCAGGUACGAAAGUAGGGUAUAGUGAUCCGGUGGUUCUGCGUGGACUGGCCAUCGCUCAAAGGAUAAAAGGUACUCCGGGGAUAACAGGCUGAUCGCCGCCAAGAGCUCAUAUCGACGCGGCGGUUUGGCACCUCGAUGUCGGCUCGUCACAUCCUGGGGCUGGAGAAGGUCCCAAG